RNAcentral lists this ribosomal RNA (422 nucleotides) under uncultured Flavihumibacter sp. RNAcentral's name for it is "bacterial SSU rRNA". It matches the Rfam family "Bacterial small subunit ribosomal RNA", at positions 355 to 774 of the family's 1533-position model. Lineage: Bacteria; Pseudomonadati; Bacteroidota; Chitinophagia; Chitinophagales; Chitinophagaceae. The record is from RNAcentral.
UAAGGAAUAUUGGUCAAUGGACGCAAGUCUGAACCAGCCAUGCCGCGUGGAGGAUGAAGGUCCUCUGGAUUGUAAACUUCUUUUAUUUGGGACGAAAAAGGAUCUUUCUAGAUCAACUGACGGUACCAGAUGAAUAAGCACCGGCUAACUCCGUGCCAGCAGCCGCGGUAAUACGGAGGGUGCAAGCGUUAUCCGGAUUCACUGGGUUUAAAGGGUGCGUAGGUGGGUCUGUAAGUCCGUGGUGAAAUCUCCGAGCUUAACUCGGAAACUGCCAUGGGUACUGCGUAUCUUGAAUGUUGUGGAGGUGAGCGGAAUAUGUCAUGUAGCGGUGAAAUGCUUAGAUAUGACAUAGAACACCAAUUGCGAAGGCAGCUCACUACACAAAUAUUGACGCUGAGGCACGAAAGCGUGGGGAUCAAACA